RNAcentral lists this ribosomal RNA (435 nucleotides) under uncultured bacterium. RNAcentral's name for it is "bacterial SSU rRNA". It matches the Rfam family "Bacterial small subunit ribosomal RNA", at positions 29 to 448 of the family's 1533-position model. The record is from RNAcentral.
AAUCAACGCUGGCGGCGUGCCUAACACAUGCAAGUCGAACGCGAAAGCCCCGCAAGGGGCAGGUAGAGUGGCAAACGGGUGAGUAACACGUGGGUGACCUGCCUUCGAGCGGGGGAUAACGUCCCGAAAGGGUCGCUAAUACCGCAUGACAUCCUGCCUUUGAAGAGGUGGAGAUCAAAGCCGGGGAUUCGCAAGAACCUGGCACUCGAUGAGGGGCCCGCGCCUGAUUAGCUAGUUGGUGGGGUAAUGGCUCACCAAGGCAACGAUCAGUAUCCGGCCUGAGAGGGCGGACGGACACACUGGGACUGAGACACGGCCCAGACUCCUACGGGAGGCAGCAGUGGGGAAUUGUUCGCAAUGGGCGCAAGCCUGACGACGCAACGCCGCGUGGAGGAUGAAGACCUUCGGGUCGUAAACUCCUUUCGAUCGAGACGA